RNAcentral lists this ribosomal RNA (459 nucleotides) under uncultured bacterium. RNAcentral describes it as "partial 16S ribosomal RNA". It matches the Rfam family "Bacterial small subunit ribosomal RNA", at positions 338 to 795 of the family's 1533-position model. The record is from RNAcentral.
CCUACGGGCGGCAGCAGUGAGGAAUAUUGGUCAAUGGGCGCGAGCCUGAACCAGCCAAGUCGCGUGAGGGAAGACGGUCCUAUGGAUUGUAAACCUCUUUUGUCGGGGAGCAAAAGACGCCACGUGUGGCGUUCCGAGAGUACCCGAAGAAAAAGCAUCGGCUAACUCCGUGCCAGCAGCCGCGGUAAUACGGAGGAUGCGAGCGUUAUCCGGUUUUAUUGGGUUUAAAGGGUGCGCAGGCGGAACAUCAAGUGAGCGGUAAAAUUGAGAGGCUCAACCUCUUCGAGCCGUUGAAACUGGUUUGCUUGAGUGAGUGAGAAGUAUGCGGAAUGCGUGGUGUAGCGGUGAAAUGCAUAGAUAUCACGAAGAACUCCGAUUGCGAAGGCAGCAUACCGGCGCUCAACUGACGCUCAUGCACGAAAGUGUGGGUAUCGAACAGGAUUAGAUACCCGGGUAGUC